Triticum dicoccoides is the source of this 3857-nucleotide long non-coding RNA. RefSeq lists it as uncharacterized. The transcript has 3 exons. NCBI's taxonomy places the organism in Eukaryota, Viridiplantae, Streptophyta, Magnoliopsida, Poales, Poaceae. The record is from RefSeq and is a predicted model, not a curated record.
AGCAGCAGGGGCUGUGGGUGUAACAAUGGUAUUGAUGUCCUCAUCAGGUAGCAAUAGUUUUCUAAGUAAUUUCAUGUUACAUAUGUUAUAAAUGGCCGGUAUUGUAGAUUAAAUUGUUUUCAACUAGUGAGCCCUAUCUAUUAGUUCUUAUUGUAUGAUGCAUUGACUGCCUCAAUUGGAAAAUGAUGACCUUGUCCAUCGUGAUGCCAUCACAUGUAUGGCCAAUGGCAGUGACCUCAAUGCCCCUGAUGAGGACAACCAUAUGGUGGAGAAAGGCGAUGACAACCAGUUUGUUCAGUUGCUACCGAACUGACUUUUAUCUACACUUUUGUUAAAAAAACAUAGGAAUUAGCCAUGAGAUGAAAUUUUAGAAUCGGAGUUGAGAAAUUCAAUCAUGUAUGCCUAAUCUAAACCUUAAUUUGGCUUCAUUGCACUUUGUUCCUUUUAAUAUCAUAUUCUUUCUUUGGACAUGGAUUAGCGUAUAUCCAUAAAAUUAUGAAACCGGAGUUGAGAAAUUCAAUCAUAUAUGCCUAAUCUAAACCUUAAUUUGGCUUCAUUGCACUUUGUUCCUUUUAAUAUCAUAUUAUUUCUUUGGACAUGGAUUAGCGAAUAUCCAUAAAAUUAUGCCUGUUUCAGUGGAAUAGCUAGAUGUGUAGUUUUUUAAGUAAUUUCAUGCUGCAUAUGUUGUAAAUAUCUAGUAUUGAAGGUUUAUCUGUUUUCAAAUAGCGAGCCUUGUUUAUUAGAUUUUAUUAUAUGACCAAUGCACUCUCACUUACUGCCUUCUUUUAAGAUGACGACCUCGUCCAUUGUGUUGAAAACACCUCUCUGGCCAAUGGAAGUGAUCUCAUUGCCCAGCCUGAGCACAACCAUAUGGUGAACGAGGAAUGUGAUGGCAACCAGCCUCUUCAGUUGUUAUUGUACUGACUUUAAUCUACAUUUAACAAUACUAGCUAUUUGCCCGUAUGUUGCAACCGGACUAUACAUAUUCCAAUAAUAUUAACAUCAAUCGUGUAUACCUAUAGGAUACUCAUGCAUAACAGACAACAUUUUUCUCCCGAAAAAAAACAAACACCAUUAUUGACUAUUGUUUCACCACUCAAUCACACUCUUCUUCUUUCACCACUAUUUCCACCUCUUCGUCUCCUUACUCCAAGUAGCCUCCCUAGUCCAAUCUAUCCAUACGGUUCUCAAUAGCGCAUCUGGGUUGCAUCCUCAACCACUUCCCCCCCUCACCCACACACACUGGAAUUUCAAGCACGCAACCAUGUAGUUGGGGUAUAUUUCACAAUGUGUUUGUCUUAGCAAGGCGUGGUUGGUGGAGGUUUUGAUAUUUCAAGAUUUCCUGUAUUGCAUCCUAAUUGGUGAUUAGAAAGAAGCCAAGGAUCAAUAGAGUUAUAUUAUUCCAAAGCAGAAACAGUAAAACAGAAAAAAAUAUUCUAGAGGUUAAAGAUUUGUACAAGUUCAACGAAGACUAAUUCAUGCUACCACAUCAAAUUCCUUUAGCAAGAUAAUACUUUUCCAAAAUACGGUUAGCAUCUAACUUUUCUAAAAGUUGUAGGACGGCUCCAUGAAAAUAAAAUGAGCAGUACUACAUGGACGAUAAUAUUGGACGAUUGCGGACAACAAUUAAAUGCAGAACGGCCGCUGGAAUCUCCCUGCUUUAGUUAAGAUUAGAUGAUUUGCCCUAUUUUUCUUUUAUCUUUUGAUCAUUUGCCCUAAUAUGUAUUCUAAUUAAUUCUUAAUUAAUUUAAUUCAAAGAAUCAACGUGGAAUGACCUUUGUGCCCCUGUGGUAGUUUUGCAAUUUCUAUGCCUAAUCUACCUGGUUCGACCCUUCGUAGUUCGUACUGAACCUGCUGCUCGUCCUGCUCGCUACUCUUAACACUGAUGCAGCAAGAACACGAAGCAGCGCUGCAGCUCAGCGGCCCGGCGGCUACUGCUGCCGCUCGGAGGCCAGGCAGUUCCCGCUGCUGCCCGACGGCUCGACUGCCCGCAGCUUCCUCUCCACCCCAGUGGCUCCCACUUCUGCUCGGCGGUCCGGCGGCUCCCGGUGAUGCUCGACGGCCCAGUGCCUCCCUCUGCACCCGGGAGGCUCAUGUUGCUGCUUGGUUGACGGCCGCUCCCUCUACUGCUCGUGCUCGGUGACACGGCACCCACCCGGCGACCAAGUGCCCUGUAUUUCCUUGCUCCUCUCGAUUCCUCCGCAAGGCAGCAUGUAGCUUACAUCAGGGGAGAGAUUUAGUGUUUGACCAGUGCAUUUUGAGCAUUUUCCUCUGAUCCCUUACUCUGAACUUGUGCAUAGAAUUUUGAGAGAUCCCAUUAGCCCAUGUAAGCAUAGGUUCUGCAUCAGUUACUAAUGUUUCUGUCUUGAACAGGAAUACAUGGACAAUCAGUUAAACGAUUUUUUUGCCUGUUAGAUAGGAGUCAUAUCUCAUUCAAUAGAUGACUCUGUGUUCACAUCUUAGAAUUAAUGCAAAUUUUCACACAAAAUAAAUGAUUCAGAGUUCACAUCUCACAAUUUAUCACAAGUUGCCACACAAAACAAAUAAAUGAUUCAGAGUUCACAUCUCCUAAUUUAAAAUAAGUCAUCACAUCAUUGAAAUCAACCUAUCAUCUUAAUGCAAUAAAAUUCUAGUGUUUUUUCUUCCUUAGGGUCAAUUUCUUCCUGGAUGCUAUAGAGCUUGAAGGCAUGUCAAAAAGAGUUGCUGGAGAAGCACAUUCUUUUUGUUCAAUGUGUUGGUCAAUCACAGGAUGAGACAUUCACGCUUUGUGGAGAAACUUGUCAAAGAGACCCAUGACAACAUAUUAGUCACACCCAUCUGGAGCGGCAGCAGCCGUUGCAGGCUUUUGUCCUUGCCACCGUUGUCACCGUGGAACAUCGCGACUCCUGCAAAGUUGCCGGAGUCGCCCCGCCUUGCCCCGCCGUGAUUGCUGGAGUGGUUGUGCCCAGAUGUGACUACUUGUGGCUGCCAGUCUGCUUCUCGCCCUGGUCCAUAGCGGUGGUGGUGGUGGCUCCGGCGAUCUUGUGCUCAUGAGGACGGUGCAAAGUUGAUGGCCUGCUGCCUUUUUACCAUAAAAGAGAAGUUUAUGGCCUUAUACAUAAGAGAUUUGGGAGAAAAUACAAAGAUGAAAAACACACUGCAUUGGAUUUGUUCCAAGGAGUGCCACUACAACAACAAGAAAGGGUACACAGAUAUCGUACAACCACAAUCUGCCAUUUUAAGUCAAGACUCAUAUGGAAGAGAAUUUCUCUCAACCUACUAAAGAUGGACAACCUAUCUCUGCAACUGAGGUUAUAUCUGAUGUGCUCACUCAGCACACCAAGAAGCUUAGGUUUCUUCAGCAUGUUGGGAUCCAGCAUGUGCGUGAGAGAACCAGUGGUACCAACCUUGAAGCGCAACUGGCAGCAGAGAAGAAAGAGAACGCAGAGCCUGGUAGGUUGUCAAUACCUUGACUACGAAGGUAGAAGAAUCAGGACAAGCAAGGGUCAGACAAGAAGAAGCAAGCUGAGAUGGAUGCAAAAGUUGACCUUUUGCUAAGCCAGAGGUGAUCAAGUUGAGCUACAGGGUAAGGUGGUCGUUGAAACACAAUAUUGUUGUAAGGUGAUGGCAAUAUGUGUUCUUUUGCUGGUGUCGUGCUUUUGUAAGGUGAUGGCAAUAUCUGGUAAUGCUUUUGCUACUGCAAACUGCAUGCAUUUUGUUUGUAGAUAUGAAUGCAAGCAUUUUACCGUAGGUAGUAUUCGGCACUAGAGUAAAUGUAGUUUCAUAUUUAUGUUGGAUGCGAACAUGUAAUUUGAUGCUGUAACUUAAUUUAUGUUGUCAUAUAUGUGUCGUGAUCUGUUGCUGGAUCAGAACCUUCA